This 505-nucleotide ribosomal RNA is filed under the name uncultured bacterium. RNAcentral describes it as "bacterial SSU rRNA". It matches the Rfam family "Bacterial small subunit ribosomal RNA", at positions 15 to 507 of the family's 1533-position model. The record is from RNAcentral.
GAUCAUGGCUCAGGAUGAACGCUAGCUACAGGCUUAACACAUGCAAGUCGAGGGGAAACGACAUCGAAAGCUUGCUUUUGAUGGGCGUCGACCGGCGCACGGGUGAGUAACGCGUAUCCAACCUGCCCAUCACUUGGGAAUAACCUUGCGAAAGUAAGACUAAUACCCAAUGAUAUCCCACGAAGGCAUCCGAAUGGGAUUAAAGAUUUAUCGGUGAUGGAUGGGGAUGCGUCUGAUUAGCUUGUUGGCGGGGUAACGGCCCACCAAGGCUACGAUCAGUAGGGGUUCUGAGAGGAAGGUCCCCCACAUUGGAACUGAGACACGGUCCAAACUCCUACGGGAGGCAGCAGUGAGGAAUAUUGGUCAAUGGGCGCAAGCCUGAACCAGCCAAGUAGCGUGAGGGAAGACUGCCCUACGGGUUGUAAACCUCUUUUGUUUGGGAAUAAAGUGCGGGACGCGUCCCGCAUUGCAUGUACCAUUUGAAUAAGGACCGGCUAAUUCCGUG